UAAUACGUAGGGUGCGAGCGUUAAUCGGAAUUACUGGGCGUAAAGCGUGCGCAGGCGGUUCUCCAAGUCCGUUGUGAAAGCCCCGGGCUCAACCUGGGAAUGGCAGUGGAAACUAGGGGACUGGAAUCUGGCAGAGGGGGGUGGAAUGCCGCGUGUAGCAGUGAAAUGCGUAGAGAUGCGGCGGAACACCGAUGGCGAAGGCAGCCCCCUGGGCUGAGAUUGACGCUCAGGCACGAAAGCGUGGGGAGCAAACAGGAUUAGAUACCCUGGUAGUCCACGCCCUAAACGAUGGCAACUAGGUGUUGGGGAAGCGAUUUCCUGGUACCGCAGCUAACGCGUGAAGUUGCCCGCCUGGGGAGUACGGUCGCAAGAUUA
This 375-nucleotide ribosomal RNA is filed under the name uncultured bacterium. RNAcentral describes it as "bacterial SSU rRNA". It matches the Rfam family "Bacterial small subunit ribosomal RNA", at positions 521 to 896 of the family's 1533-position model. The record is from RNAcentral.